Molecule: ribosomal RNA, 133 nt
Filed under: Danio rerio (zebrafish)
Lineage: Eukaryota; Metazoa; Chordata; Actinopteri; Cypriniformes; Danionidae
Source: RNAcentral
UCAGGCAUUAAACAUAGACGACCCAUUGGGGUUCUCCUAAGCGGACUUGAUUGCAGGGUGGACUCAAUUUCUUACCACACCAGCACAGUACCUGGAUGGGAGACCGCAUGGGAACACUAGGUUGCUGCCGGAC